RNAcentral lists this small RNA (28 nucleotides) under Bombyx mori (domestic silkworm). RNAcentral describes it as "ovarian small RNA-13977". The record is from RNAcentral. Lineage: Eukaryota; Metazoa; Arthropoda; Insecta; Lepidoptera; Bombycidae.
CCUCGCAGCGCUCAAUGACCACGGUUGG